CUGUAGUGAGGAUCUUCGCUCAGAUGUCGCCACGUGGCGUGUCUUUAAAGUGAAAAAAAACCUAUGAACCACACCUUUCAACCGGGUUCACAUUUAAAAUAACCCAGCCUACACUCCCUUUCUCUUCCUCGAUUUCCGGCCGUAGGUGUAUUUCUGCCAAUUUAUAGAGUUGUAUCAGUCCAAUCAAAUGUCUUCAACCUCCAUCCUUCCCUCA
RNAcentral lists this long non-coding RNA (214 nucleotides) under Salvia miltiorrhiza (redroot sage). Its description in RNAcentral is "long non-coding RNA (SMIL_LNC000996)". The record is from RNAcentral. Lineage: Eukaryota; Viridiplantae; Streptophyta; Magnoliopsida; Lamiales; Lamiaceae.